GGACUCCUACCAUGCUGCCCCCCAAAUCGCUCCCUCUCUCUCUUCCAUGGGUCUCCUUUGUUUGUGAUUUUUUUUAUACCAUCAGUAUUUGUUUUUAUUCUGGUGCCAGUGAAGGGGUGUUUUCCUCUCUUGGUGAUUGAGUUCAGUGUAGGAGAGUAUGCGGUGACGGCUGUUUCAAACUUCCUUUUGGACAUUGUGGUUUGGGUGCUCCGUGUUUUGAUAAAAGGGAAUGCCUGGAAUAUGAGGGACAAACAGACAAGGAAAGUAAGAGCUGUAACGGUUGUCUCCUCUCUCUCUAAAGCCCUCAGCAUAGUUCCUCCCUUUUUCUGUCUGUACGUUGCCUCAUCUCAUCCUCGCCUGCUUGCUCUGGAUAAAUCUUCUCAUCCAUUUCCGUUCCAACUCUUCCUGCCUUCAUUCCUUUUUUCCCUCUGUCUUUCUUCCUUUAUUUCCUUCCAUCCUUCCUUCAUUAAUUGAAUAACUCCUUCAUGCCUUCCUGUCCUGUCCUGCCUGCCAUCCAUCCUCAGUUUGUUUCCUCACCCACUCACCUCCUUUCCUGCUGAUCCGUACUUCUACUCCUUAUUAUCUUCUCUUUCUGAUUUCUCCAGUGUGUUUUCAAGCAAGUUUCAUUUAGUCACUUUUCAUUCUGUCCCUCCCUGUGUCAUCCCUCGCUCCUCCCUCCCCCCUCCCCUGCUCUCUGUAAUUUGUCCUUCAGCGUUCUCUCUCUCUCUCUCUCUCUCUCUCUCUCUCUCUCUCUCUCUCUCUCUCUCUCUCUCUCUCUCUCUCCUUCUCGCUCUCCCUCCCCCGUCUCUCUCUCUCUCUCUCUCUCUCUCUCUCUCUCUCUCUCUCUCUCUCUCUCUCUCUCUCUCUCUCUCUCUCUCUCUCUCUCUCUCAUAUGGCCUGGGCAGCUGGUCAUGUUUGUGUUCCAACUUGUGACCAAAGACCCAGAGGUGGAAGCUCGUUCCUCCACUGUGUUAUAAAUCCUUUUUUUUCUUUUUAUCGGCGGCUGUUUUUUCGUCCAUCCCUCUGCUCCCUCUCCUCUGAGAGCCGGCAGGUCCUGUGACCUCCUCCUCUCCCCCUCUCCUCUCCAUCCCCUCCUCCCGCUCCUCCUCUCCUCGUCACAUCCUUGAACUCUCCAUCGCUGCUCCGGCGGCCGGGACCCGAGACCCCCUGCCUGCAGCCCCACCAAUCUCCAUUCUGGUAUUCAGGCAGAGAUCUUUUGGACAACCUCUCCCUCUCACCUUUCCUUGCUUCCUAGUCCAACAUCCCAGCCAAAAAUGCUUUGCUAAAGCUGGUAAAAUGGAACCAAAUCAACUGUUAAAUGGAUUUGGUCCCCUUCAACCAGCUGUAGCUGUGCAUUGAUCACAGCCAAACUGACAUGAACAAGGAGUGACAGACACACAAAAAUACAACGAAAUAAGUAAAGAAGAGGGAUGAUGAUGGUGAAAAACCCUGGGAAGUGAUGAUUAGACGAGGCUCAUAGUCCCGCUUGGCCUUCAGACAGCCACUUUAAAUCUGUCAGAUCCAGUGCUCGUACAGAGACAGUUGGACAGCCAUUGGAUCUAGGGGCGGCUAGCCAAGCAAGAAUCAAUGAUUGUGGGGAUUUAUCUUAUCAAACACAUUUCCUCAAAGCAUUUCCAAAUGUCCAGGUAAGUGACCAUGUACUGUAUACAUUUGUCAGUCGUUAUAGAUUAUAGGAAUAUCUAGAUUGUAUGUUCAGGUUUGUUGUGUGAAAGCAGGAGUGUCGUGUGAUUAAAAAGCUAACUUUGUGUGUGUGUGAUAUUACUCUUGCACAAAUGUCUGUGCAAACAUACACACAAAUGUGAUACCUUAAGCUAAUGUCUGAUCAAUAAAGGCCCAUCCUUGAGUUACCUAAA
Molecule: long non-coding RNA, 1874 nt
Organism: Gadus macrocephalus (Pacific cod)
Lineage: Eukaryota; Metazoa; Chordata; Actinopteri; Gadiformes; Gadidae
Exons: 2
Source: RefSeq, a predicted model, not a curated record